AAGACUAUACUUUCAGGGAUCAUUUCUAUAGUUCUUAACUAGGAAAUGUGUUUCGAAAGUGUUGCGUCUCCCAAACCACGAUGAUGAGUUUUGAUACUUCUUUCUGAGCGUGAAUCAGGUGUAGAGUAAUGAUUAGGUUCAUAUGCUCUAUGUCAUUGAUGAACGUUCCUUUCUGCUUAUAGUAGUUAGGAGGAGAGGGGUAUGAACAGAGUGGU
Molecule: small nucleolar RNA, 215 nt
Organism: Misgurnus anguillicaudatus (oriental weatherfish)
Lineage: Eukaryota; Metazoa; Chordata; Actinopteri; Cypriniformes; Cobitidae
Product: small nucleolar RNA U3
Source: RefSeq, a predicted model, not a curated record